CAAAAUAUAGCUUAUACUAAAGCACCUUGCUUACACCAAGGAGUUUCUCAUUAAUCUGAGCUAUUUUGAUAUGA
RNAcentral lists this transfer RNA (74 nucleotides) under Eleutherodactylus counouspeus (Counou robber frog). RNAcentral describes it as "tRNA-Val". The record is from RNAcentral. Lineage: Eukaryota; Metazoa; Chordata; Amphibia; Anura; Eleutherodactylidae.